AAGACGGUAUUUCUUGGCCACUGCAAGGUGAUACCUUAUCACACCCAUCCGGGUGUGAUAACCAAUCUUUUGGGUGAUUCAACCGAACCAGACUGGCGCACUCACCAGUUCGAAUGAAAAGGCCAAGCAGCAGGGCCAAAAGGGCGGCGGUUUCCAUAAUUGAACUGGACACGGCCAUUUCUCGAGCCAACAGCACUCACACAGGAUUCACAAGACUCACAGGUUGACCAAUUGCGGCCAUUCCUCGGAAUUCAUUUAUACUUCGGCUUCUGUAAAAGGGAGGAGUAUCCAAAAGGGAUUAAAAUUAACAAGCGAAUUGAAGGCUCUUAAAAACUUUUUCGAUUUUCCGCUGAAAUCUCCAGCUCAGCCCUCGAGAGCUAAUAAAAAAGUUGAAAUGAAACGAGGAGUAUAAACGCAGGCAAUGGUCAUAAAAAUUAUUAUCCACAAUCCGCAGAAAUGCAAUUUUUUGUUCGAGGAAAGGACAGGAAGACAAGAAAAAUUAAAGGCCAUCCAUUCAGGCGAAUCUGUCAUCGUGACAGAUAAAUAUUAUCAUGGCCUGGCUCGUGGCUCUGGUCAGACCAAACAGAUAUAGUCAUCUAUCAGCCGACGCUUGGGGUUCAGAGGUCAUGUCUGUGGAUCAAUAUUUAUUGCAAAUUAUGCCCCGACCACACACUUUUCGUGUGGGCCACGGGGCGUAUGUGCAACACUCUGGGUAGCCGCAAGUGCUGUGCAUUAAUUAUGCGAUUUUGAGUGUUCAGGAAUGUGUGUGCGUCUGUGGGUGUUUGAUUUGCGGUCGAACCAGUCGAACUCCUGUCGCUCAGAUGUACUCGGCUAAUGUAAUUAAGCUUCUGAUUAAAAUGCCUGGAAUUACCUACCAGAGAAAAGCACAUUGCAAGAGGGCACAAUAAGAUAUUGGAUCCCAACAAAAAACACCGUCACUUCCACAUCCCAGAGCCAGUGCAAUUUUUCUGCUGACGGCCAACUUCACGCACGUCCUGUCUAUAAAGUGCAGUGCUCACUAAGCCAAUUUCAGGGUGUUUAUAAUUGAAAGUCGCCACCAGCGAUAAAGGACUAAGAUAAAGAGAAAUUGCUUUCUGAAUAAAAUGAUUGUACCAGAACGGCUUGAAGAAAUGCACUUGAGGAAAAAUAAAUAUGUAUUUUUAACAUGGAAAAAAACCGAGAGUAGAUGGAACAAAACCAAACCCGAAUAUUUAAAGCACGCGCGUCUGACCAACCCAGGCUGACCGUAAAAACUUUCUGCUAAAGGCAAAGCAAAACAAAACUGUGGCAAAAACAUAAAACACAGCAAGAGGCAUAAACAAACAGAGCGCAAAAGCAUAAAGCAUGAAGCAUACAAGAGGCAACAACGAAAUUUUCAACUUUUGUAAUCGAGACCCUAGAUGAUGACAGGACGAAGGCUUGCGAAGCUGCUGCACCAGUUUUGAAAAAAUAAACAAAAAUAUAAAUAUUUUACUUGUAGUUUCUCAGAGCAAACACCAACAAACUACGGCAAGCUUCAGCAAACUAGCCAAACAACAAGCAACAGCUGCCAAAUGGGAAAUAAUCAAGCCCGGAGCAGGGACCCUAAAAUAUCCUGUGAAAUUGCUUCGCAGACACUUUCCCCACCCUCGUAUUUUUUAGUUUGGAUGCAGACUUUUGUAUUCAUCGCACACCCAGUAGUCUGGCAUCAUUAUUCAUUUUCGGUUGAGGAAAAUUAAUGAGCUGGCCAAGCUUUCUCUCAUUUUGAAGUGCUCAGACGGAAUGAACUCGUAAGUUGACCUUACAUUAAGCUCAACUAACUGGGAACUGGGAUUAGUUUCCCGGCAACAAAGGGGAUAAUUGAAUGAAAUGCAAACAUGGUUAUAACCAUAACAGGAUUUCGAGGAAACGAAUGGGUCAAGCCUGGCACUUGUUGUCAUUGAUUGGGUGCAAAUCGAUACCAUGUCAUGGAAACUGGGUCACGAUGAGCAAACGAACAGAAAACUCAGACAGCAAAGGAAAAGUUGAUGCCUCUUUUCCCCCAUUCAGUUGCGGCUGUUACGAGCUCAGGCCAUCAACCCACACAGAAGCCAACGACCAAUUUAUGUGCCGUGGUUAUUACUAUAUACACACUAUAGGAACCGUCUGGUCCAACUCCCAUUGUUGUCGCGGACACGCCCGAUUUCGCGGGCAAUAAACGCCUCACAUUAAAAGUGGGGUCAAAAAAAGACCUACAACAUUUUUUAGUAAACAAAAAGGUGUUGUUUUUACAAAAGAGUAAUUUUCUAAUUUUAACCCAUGUCUAAUGGAAAUGAUCAAAUGCUUUCUGAGUGCUUAGGAAUCAAUAGUCAAGUUAUUCCUUUAACACAGUUCCAUACGUCUUGCCUUGGCGCUAGACCCUUCAUGUGGAGCAUGUCAAUUGCAUCGUUAAUAAUGACAGUGCGGCAGAUGGUCAAUGCCCAUUCCGCAGCCGGAUGUCUGCCCAUAUAUUACGGAACGUGUCCAAGGAAUCUAGGUCCUACACAAGUGGAGCUGUUGAAAAGAUGUUGCAAGAAGCUCAGUUUCUUUCCACACCUUUGCUGGAUCGCCCUGCCAAAUAAUGACGUCACGAAAUGUACUCCCGUUUGGGUGGAGUGUUAACUUAAGCUUGACAUUUUCCGCGUGCCCUACCAUCAAAAGCCAUUUCACGACCGACAGAUGUCUGCCAACAGGGAAUCUGAGGGCGAGCUAAAGUGUGAAACUGUGCACAUGGUCAUUUGGCAUGGGUAUGUCAGCAAUAUGGAAGAUAUGCGAGACAACUGGAGCAUGAAUAUUGCACAGCUGGAAUUGGAGGAAAUAUUUUUAAAAGCAUUAUUCAAAUAUUACUCAAAGCGAUCUGCAAAACAGUUAUUAUAUUGUUCGUCAGUCAUCACAAGCAAUAUUUUAAAACUAUUUCCUUUUGUUAAAUUAUAACAUAUAUUAAAUUUACUUUUGAAAUUUCUUGGCGCUUACAGUAAGGCGGCGAAUUUUUUCACCAAUUUUGAAUUCUGCCAUCUGGAAUGGAGCCAAUGAAAUUUUCGUUCAACAAAUCCGGAAAAAUUUUGAAUGGGAUGUGUGGUAUCCUUU
Long non-coding RNA from Drosophila elegans, 3084 nucleotides. RefSeq lists it as uncharacterized. Lineage: Eukaryota; Metazoa; Arthropoda; Insecta; Diptera; Drosophilidae. The transcript is spliced from 6 exons. The record is from RefSeq and is a predicted model, not a curated record.